Molecule: ribosomal RNA, 443 nt
Filed under: uncultured archaeon
Lineage: Archaea
Description: bacterial SSU rRNA
Rfam family: Archaeal small subunit ribosomal RNA
Source: RNAcentral
UGCCGGACCUGACUGCUAUCGGAUUGAUACUAAGCCAUGCGAGUCAUUGUAGCAAUACAAGGCAUACGGCUCAGUAACGCGUAGUCAACCUAACCUAUGGACGGGAAUAACCUCGGGAAACUGAGAAUAAUGCCCGAUAGAACAUUAUGCCUGGAAUGGUUUAUGUUCCAAAUGAUUUAUCGCCGUAGGAUGGGACUGCGGCCUAUCAGUUUGUUGGUGAGGUAAUGGCCCACCAAGACUAUUACAGGUACGGGCUCUGAGAGGAGUAGCCCGGAGAUGGGUACUGAGACACGGACCCAGGCCCUAUGGGGCGCAGCAGGCGAGAAAACUUUGCAAUGUGCGAAAGCACGACAAGGUUAAUCCGAGUGGUUUCUGCUAAAGAAACCUUUUGUCAGUCCUAGAAACACUGAUGAAUAAGGGGUGGGCAAGUUCUGGUGUCAGCA